CCUACGGGUGGCAGCAGUGAGGAAUAUUGGUCAAUGGCCGGGAGGCUGAACCAGCCAAGUCGCGUGAGGGAAGACGGCCCUACGGGUUGUAAACCUCUUUUGUCAGGGAGCAAAGGGCGCCACGUGUGGCGUUUUGCGAGUACCUGAAGAAACAGCAUCGGCUAACUCCGUGCCAGCAGCCGCGGUAAUACGGAGGAUGCGAGCGUUAUCCGGAUUUAUUGGGUUUAAAGGGUGCGCAGGCGGAAUGUCAAGUCAGCGGUAAAAUUUCGGGGCUCAACCCCGUCGUGCCGUUGAAACUGGCGUUCUUGAGUGAGCGAGAGGUAUGCGGAAUGCGUGGUGUAGCGGUGAAAUGCAUAGAGAUCGCGCAGAACUCCGAUUGCGAAGGCAGCAUACCGGCGCUCAACUGACGCUCAUGCACGAAAGCGUGGGUAUCGAACAGGAUUAGAUACCCUUGUAGUC
Molecule: ribosomal RNA, 459 nt
Filed under: uncultured bacterium
Lineage: Bacteria
Description: partial 16S ribosomal RNA
Rfam family: Bacterial small subunit ribosomal RNA
Source: RNAcentral